GAUCAUGGCUCAGGAUGAACGCUAGCGACAGGCUUAACACAUGCAAGUCGAGGGGCAGCACGGUGUAGCGAUACACUGGUGGCGACCGGCGCACGGGUGAGUAACACGUGUGCAACCAACCCCGUACCGGGAGAUAACCCGCGGAAACGUGGACUAACAUCCCAUGAUACUCGAGAGCCGCAUGGCUCUCGAUUUAAAAUUCCGGUGGUACGGGACGGGCACGCGCGACAUUAGGUAGUUGGCGGGGG
This 248-nucleotide ribosomal RNA is filed under the name uncultured bacterium. Its description in RNAcentral is "partial 16S ribosomal RNA". It matches the Rfam family "Bacterial small subunit ribosomal RNA", at positions 15 to 258 of the family's 1533-position model. The record is from RNAcentral.